GCGUGAAUCUGCCGGGACCAUCCGGUAAGGCUAAAUACUCCCGAGAGACCGAUAGCGAACCAGUACCGUGAGGGAAAGGUGAAAAGAACCCCGAGCAGGGGAGUGAAAUAGACCCUGAACCCGUCUGCCUACAAGCGGUCGGAGCGUCGUAAUGACGUGACGGCGUGCCUUUUGCAUAAUGAACCUACGAGUUACCUUCCCCGGCAAGGUUAAGUACCUAAGGUACGGAGCCGAAGCGAAAGCGAGUCUGAACAGGGCGCCAAGUCGGGGGGGGUAGACGCGAAACCGAGUGAUCUACCCUUGGCCAGGUUGAAGGUUGGGUAACACCAACUGGAGGACCGGAUGGGUAAGCGUUGAAAAGCUUUCCAAUGAGCUGAGGGUAGGGGUGAAAGGCUAAUCAAACUCGGAGAUAGCUCGUACUCCCCGAAAUGCAUUUAGGUGCAGCCUCUUUAUAGUAUAUCGUGAGGUAGAGCGACUGAUUGGAUGCGAGGGCUUCACCGCCUAUCAAGUCCAGAUAAACUCCGAAUGCGCGAUAUAUAUUUACAGGGAGUGAGGGCGCGGGUGCUAAGGUCCGUGUCCGAGAGGAGAAGAAUCCAGACCACCGGCUAAGGCCCCCAAAUGAUCGUUAAGUUGAACUAACGAGGUCGGAUCGCAGAGACAGCUAGGAUGUUGGCUUGGAAGCAGCCAUUCAUUUAAAGAGUGCGUAACAGCUCACUAGUCGAGGAGUUUGGCGUGGAUAAUAAUCGGGCAUUAAGUAUUCUACCGAAGCUUUGGGAUGUGUAAACAUCGGUAGGGGAGCAUUCCACUCGGCGUUGAAGGUGAGGCGUGAGCCUUGCUGGAGCGUGUGGAAAAGCAAAUGUAGGUAUAAGUAACGAUAAAGGGGGUGAGAAACCCCCUCGCCGAAAGACUAAGGUUUCCUGAUCAACGCUAAUCGGAUCAGGGUAAGUCGGGUCCUAAGGCUCAGCCGAACGGCGAGGCCGAUGGCAGAACCGGUUAAUAUUCCGGUACUACCUGUGGGAGUGACGUGGAGACGGAGUCGUGACAGCGCCGCGGACUGACGGAAUAGUCCGUUGAAGGGUGUAGAUGCUGAUUGUUCCAGGCAAAUCCGGAGCAAGAGUCGAACCUGACAGUAUGGAGCGUUCUUAGAACAAUCCAAUAGUGCGUGUAAUCAUACUUCCAAGAAAAUCCGCUAAACUUAAUCCUGCAGGUACCCGUACCGCAAACGGACACACGUAGUCGGGUUGAAUAUACUAAGGCGCUUGAGUGAUUCACGGUUAAGGAACUAGGCAAAUUGACCCUGUAACUUCGGGAUAAAGGGUCCUCGUCGUAAGGCGAGGCGCAGAGAAUAGGUCCAGGCAACUGUUUAACAAAAACACAUGGCUGUGCUAAAUGGAAACAUGAUGUAUACAGCCUGACACCUGCCCGGUGCCGGAAGGUUAAGAGGAGAUGUCAUCCGCGAGGAGAAGCGUUGAAUUGAAGCCCCGGUAAACGGCGGCCGUAACUAUAACGGUCCUAAGGUAGCGAAAUUCCUUGUCGGGU
This 1539-nucleotide ribosomal RNA is filed under the name human gut metagenome. Its description in RNAcentral is "bacterial LSU rRNA". It matches the Rfam family "Bacterial large subunit ribosomal RNA", at positions 436 to 1977 of the family's 2925-position model. The record is from RNAcentral.